UCGGUGGUUGAAUCAUCCGUCCCCACCAAUGCCAAAAACCAAAUCUACGCCCUUGGUUUGUGAACUAAAAAUUAAUCAUGUGGGAUACCGUUUGUACGUGCUUUAGAAAGCCAGGUUUGUGCUCCCUUGGCAUGGAAUUUAAGCUAUUAUAAAUGACUUGUUGACUUUAAAUCUGUCAAAAAUAAGUCAAUCAUAUCUCUCAUGAAGAACAUCAAGUAAUUUAGAGAUCAUUCCUAUCACAAAGUAAUUGCUACAAUCAAUUUUUGGCAAAGUAACUGUUAUAUAUCCUUUAUUUAGCCUGUUAAAAAGUAAUUGACAAAUAAAACGUUUAUUUCAAGAGAAAGCUAACCAAGAGCGCUGCAGAAAUAACAACUAUAACAUCACAGUUCUAUAAAGAAAAAGAACUGGAUUGAUGACAAUAUGGGUAUAAAUACGCAUAAAGUCAUAAAGAUACUUAGAAAGGAGAUCAUUUGUUUAUUUUAUAUACAACCCCUUCAUAAACCCCGUUGACUAAAUCUGUUUACUAAUAUAAGUAAAGACAGACGUAAAAAAGAAAAAUGUCGAAAAUCACUCUUUGGCAGACGCUCACCUCCCCUGCCAGCAAUCUUGCUCCCAUGUGGCAACCACAGAACCGGCACGAUGGUCCUUUGUGGAGAGUUCCAGCCGGCCCAGAUGGAGCGGAUUUGAUGCGUCACCAAACUGAGCUAAAAGGUUUUGUAGCACCAGGGUCUGCCACUCAGCCUGGGCCUGCAGGUCUUCCUGAUGAUGCCGGUGCUCUGCCUCUCGCUGCUGUUGCAAGGCCGCCAUGUUGGCCAUCAUUUGAACCAGCAUCUGAGCUAGCUGGAGGUUCUGCGGGUUUGACAUGUCGUAGCGGCAAACUAGGCACCACUGUAACACUCUGUUACUGAUCUCCGGUAUGACGCACAAGGAGACAGUUCUGCAUCACGUUUCAAUAAUUCUUUUUAUUCAGUUCACAACUCGCUUCACAUACUCGAACUCUCACUGGCUCACCUCUCUCACUCAGCAGCUACUAAAAUAGGAAGAAAGGUAAUCAUCCUGACAGGCAUCAGCCCUUUCUCCCACCCUCCCCUGCCACUGUCACCCUCCCCGCUGCUCCACCCCUCACCUGCAGCUAAACCACAAACCUCACCCAGCCACAAACUGACACAUUGUUAAUGUAAUUGGCGCACCAUAAUAAUUCUAAAAAAAAAUUCUGUAAGCAUUAAUGUAAGUGACAUUUUUUAGAAGAAAUGUUACAAAUGUUAUAGCAUUCAGUUAAUUAAUUUAUUUCUCUCUAGGCCCCCCACCCCUGCUUCCCUCCACCUGAAAAUAAGUAAAGCAUUAAGGCUUUUUAACUGGACAAUUGCUUAACCAUUCCUCUGAACCACCCUGACUCUCUUUUCCCACUUUUCCCCUCAACUCUUGAACCACAGUUUCCCCGUCAAGCUCAGCCACUCUAAGCUCCUGUUCCCAGCACUCUAGUCUGCAAACUCAUAGUUCAUGUUUAUUUGCUCUAGCCUAAUUCAUAGAGUUAGCUCUUGUUUACCUUGUUCUUACCAUGUCACUGUAAAUAAAGUUUUCUGGUCACUAUACUCUGAGCCUCCGUUUGAAUCUGCUCUUGGGUCCACUUCUUGUUUCUGUCUGCUAAAGGCAUGACAGGAGAAAUGUUUCAUCACUCAUCUAAGUGACUUCUUCAGUCUCAGCUGAACACGUUACUGCCGAUCUCUGGUGUUCACUCUGUGUUGUAGCGUCCUGAUGACACCCAGUUUGUGCCCCAGUGGAUGAUGAGAGCCAAACCUUAAAUACUGUUUAUAAGGUUGGGGAAACCUGCAGUAAGCUGUGCAGAGGUCUCUGCACAGGAAAAAGAAGUAAGACAAGAAAUUGAAACACAUGUUUUACAUUAAUGCUGUUUAGAUCCAGUGAUCAGUGGUUUAUUUAGUACUUCUUUAGCACUGGUAAAUCUCCAGCACAGACUAGGAAGGUGCAGCAGAAGCCAAAAAGCCCCACUACCAACUGAUGUGAAGCACAGCUGUGGAAUUGUAUUACUUUUUAAUUAAUUUUGUGUUUCCCUCAAUGAAAUUUCUCGAUGACUGUCCUCAGAAGUAUUUUUUUGUUUGUUUGUUUGUUUUUUUUAACAUACAUUCAUUAUUCUUUUCCUGGAGUCUUGAAGCAAAGCCAAGGACAAACUGUUUGUGCCCCAGGACAGUUUAAAUGUCAGGGGCAAGUCUGUACCGGUACAGAUUGUAAAACAUCUAUUAUAACACACCCAUUGCCUGAAGUCAUUUUCUGGAUAACCAUUCUUUUUCAGCACAUUGUCCACCAAGGUUUAAAUAUUUUUUAUUAUAAUUAAUUCUAAUUCUAACAUCAUUUGUCACAUAUUAAUAAAAGCAGCAGUCUUCAGACACAACCUGCGUUUGACGUAUAAACAAAGAUAUUUGUUUACACACUGGCAUGCUGUUACAUUAAUUGUAAGGGGCAAGUUUGUACUUGUCCAGUAAUUAUUGUACCAGUAUAGUACCAGUAAACAUUGUAGUCAUUCUUUCUUAGCUCAGUGUCUGCAAAACUUUAAACAUUUUUUGUCUUUAAUAGAUAAUUAAUUACAGUUCUAAAAUUAUUUUAGUCACAUAUUCAUAAAUGUAGUUGUCUUCAGACGCACCCUGCCUUUAAUGUAUUUAAAGUCAUCAUAGCGUGUUUUUCUUUUUUUUUCAGAAACACUCCAGAGGAGAGGGUAAGGCACUCUGAGAAACUGAAGUAGCAGCAGCGUGACACAAUAUGCCCUGACCUGUUAACUGGAGUUUUUACUCUUUAAAUGCAAACCUUUCACCACUAAGACUUUAGUCAGCGCUGCUGACCACACGAUGGUCCUUGAAUUAGCUUUGGAAAUUCACAUGAAUGUAUUCACGAGCAAAAACAGCAUCACGGUGCUGUUGGUUUGACUGUUGCCACUUGCCGAAAUAUUUUGUGUCAACAGCUGUUUCUUAAUGAAGGACAAAAUAAGUAGCUGUAGUUAAAUGUAAGUUAAAAGAAGCUAAAUUGAGUACUUUGUCUUUGUUAUCUGUCAUGUUUUUGUCAUGUGACUCAGGGCUUUUGUAUAAAUUAAUAUUAUCUUAUCCCUGUCCAUGUGUUUUCUCUAUUCGCUGUCUGCGUGGAUAUUAGCCAGGCCAGCUUCCGGGAGAAUGGUUCUGGCCCCUAUUUGUUUGCUUACAGGGCGAUGACGCGAGGGGAGCCGCGGUGGAGCAAUGGACUCCAGUGCAGAGUGCGCGCUGGGCUGGGACGUGAUGAGCCCAGUGGAGGGAAGAGAUGGGGAUAGGAGGCUUCUCCUUUUCUGCCUGGGACGAGGCUGGUGUGGACCCUGCUCUGAAGGAGGAAUUUCGGUCCUGCUUGUGAACACCUAACAAACAUUUAUCCUUUCUUGUGGGACAGUUACAUUGUGGGACAGGGUGGGAGUUUAGUGAGCACAGAACAUUGUGUUUUAUAUGUUUGGUUUUUUUUAUAUUGGGUUUGUUUAUUCCUGGGGAUUUUAGUACCUUGACAACAUUUUAUUGCUUGUUUUUAGAAUUGUUUGUCAUUCUUGCUCCCUGGUUUGGAAAUAAUCUGUUUCUGAUCAGAACUACAUCAUCUUUGUGCCCUGGGUUUCUAACUGGCGCACUCCCCCCUUUGGAUGAAAAGAACCAGCCUCUAUACUAAGACAUUCGCACCAGCAUGUCUACAUAUUCACGAACAAAAACAGCAUCACAGUGCUGUUGGUUUGACUGGUGCCACUCGCCAAAAUAAUUUGUGUCAACAACUGAUUGUCAAUGAAGGAAAAAAUAAGUAGCUGUAGUUAAAUGUAAGUCAAAAGAAGCUAAAUUGAAAACACUUAAAAACAGUUGUGUGCCUAAUUACUCUGGCUGUGUUAUCUGUCAUGUUUAAGCAUGCAUAUAUUUAAUAACAACUGCUUAUAGCUUUACAUCCAGUUUUACACAGACAGUCAGAUAAUUUAGUUGUGGUGAAAAUACAAUAUUUAAAGGUAUAUGAUUUAUUCAUUGCAUUUUUUCUUCAAGGGCUUUAAUUACCUGAUACAUGCUUAAACAUCAAGGUAAGUAAAUCCCAAAUGUACUGUUUGGGAAAACCUGCAGUCACUUGAGACUGAAGAAGUCACUUGGAUGAGUGACAAAACGUUUGUCCCACUGAAAACACGACGCCUAGAUGAACACAAUCAACCUUUUGUUUUCUUCUUUUUCUAUGCUGAAUUUUCAGUUCUCUGUGUCAUACCAAAGUGUUUUAGUAUUUGGUUUAAAUGCCUUAUGAAAAGGAAAAAAGAUACGGUCUCUGACAUCUUCAGUAUUCUGUUUAUUUUUUCAUAAACUAUAAACUACAUUCACUCCUACAGGAGAAAGCCAAGUGCCCCAAAGAGAGAGUGGCUCUUUCUGCUGCCACACAUCGGUCUCUGGACAGGAAAAAGAAGGUUGGUGAAUCUCCAGCACAGACUAGGAAGAUGCAGCAGAAGCCAAAAAGCCCCACUACCAACAGGUGUGAAACACGGCUGUGGGAUGUUAUUACUUUUUUGUUCAUUUUGCGUUUCCUUUUAUGCAAUUUCUGGAUUAUAUUCUCCAGAAGUUAUUUACAUACAUUCAGUAUUCCUUUCCUAUAGUCUUGAAGCCAAGCCAAGGAUAUACGGUUUGUGCCCCAGGACAGCUUAACCGUCAGGGGCAAGACUGCACUGGUACAUAUUGUAAAGCACCUUUUAUAACACAACCAUUUCCUGAAGUCAUUUUCUCAUGCUCUCUUCAUGCUCUUUACAUUAAUUCUUUCACAUUAAUGUGCUUCACACGACCACAGAUGCACAGCAGGCAUUCAGUAUGGACUUUGUUUCAGAAAUGACUCAAAAAAUAAAUUAAUAAGACCAAGAGAUAAAAUAGGAUGAAAAAUAAUAUAAGACAUUUUAUAGAUACAGGACAGAGAGAGAGACAAAAGCAAAAACAAUAUUUGGCCUGAAACUAGGUCAACCAAAGAGACACAGAGACUGACAUGAUUUAAAUUAUAUGGAAUUUAAUUCAUGAUACCGUUAAACUAAGUCAACUUAAGCCAUAAGUCUAUUAUUGAGCCAGUAAACAAGUUCAACAUGGUUUCAAACAAGGAUCCUACUUAGAUAUUUAAUUCUGGCGUCUGAUAAGGUAAUAAAGCCACAUAUGAACAGUGGUCAUGUUUAUUUUUCAAAAAUAGAUAAAAAUUAUUUACUGUAUUUACACAUCUUGUUUGGAAAUUAUUUGAAUUUACUCUGAAUACCACCACAAAUCCAGAGUGAAUAAGCAUGCCAACCAAAUUUUUUUCAGUCAUAUUUAAAGUAAUAAGAAUUUAAUUUUAAUCAUUUUUUACUUGGCAGAAUACAAACAUUCUUGAGCAAACCAAUCUGUAUUAUAUUCAACGGACUUGUCAAAUUCCAACAUUAAGCAGAAUAAGUCUCAUUUAUUGUUCUCAUCAGCCAUUAGACAAUAUUAUGAGGUGAUAUGAAGUUUUUAUCUCUGUAAUAGUAAUCUGUAUCAGGAUACAAUAAACCACAUUUAUCCACUCGCCCUGGAUUUUUAGCAUGAAUGCACAAAAUGUUUAUAUGUCACAAUAAUUUGCAUUUCAUUUUGAAUAGAGGUAAACUGACAUGUAUGAAAAUUACUUAGUGAAUACAAAGUUGGGAAAGGUAAGCUUGUGCCUGUUUACUAAUAAUUGCAUAAUCUAGGUCUGUUUCCUACAGGCACAUAUGGUAAUUAGUGAUAUAAUCCUACAUUGCACUGAUUACAUUAUGUCCACACUGUCACACCAAAAGAACGCUUAAGGAACUGAUCUCACACACAUAUGGAUAAAAUGACUCCAAACUGUUUAAAAAGCCAACCAUCAUGCAUUUACACCUAACAUCCUUCAAGAAGAAGGCUUUGAGCUGAGUUGUCCUUUCCACUUCCACAAAGAUAGUCCUUGAUGCACUGUCAGGAAUCAUCCUGCUGUCCUCUGCAUCACAUUAUCUGCUUGCACUGACUCAGCUUUCACUGAAACAUGAAUGGUAACCAACUAACUCAGAGGCUGAGAGGCUGCCAGGGUGUUUUUGAUGCCCCAAAUCAUUAUUGUCUCUUAUCAUUAACAGAAAUAAGAAUAUAUAUGUGUAUAUAUAUGUGUGUGUGUAUAUAUACUCCCCCCCCUAUUAUUUCACACAGAGAGACCACUUAUCCAGUGAAAGAACUAAAGCUAUGAAGUAUAUCAGACAACACCAUUUACUUCAAAUUGCUUAAAAUUUGGGAUCUCAGUGUUCUAUAUAUAUAUCUCAAGUAUGUCAAAAAACAAAAGGGAAUUGUUCUAAAAAAUAACCAUAACCUGAAAGAUGUUUUUCAUACAGGCCAGUAGAAUGAGGGAGGGUCUAAGCUUGUUAUUGUGUUAUCACUGUUCUUGUGUAAUUUACGAGGGGAUGGAACAUAAACCAUGGGCCUUUUUCAUUGUUUUGUUCAUUUCUUUUUAAAAUAAUCUGAGCUUUUGUGUCUGCUCUCCUGGUUUGCCAUUUAUCCUUCAACUAUGAACGGCUUUGAGUUAAAAGGGAAAAGGCUCUUUUCUUUUUAGUGCUUGUUUAUUUCGAGUUAUUGUCAUGUUUGUGAAAAUAAAUUUUUCAGUUGGAAAAA
Oreochromis niloticus (Nile tilapia) is the source of this 6638-nucleotide long non-coding RNA. RefSeq lists it as uncharacterized. The transcript is spliced from 2 exons. The record is from RefSeq and is a predicted model, not a curated record. NCBI's taxonomy places the organism in Eukaryota, Metazoa, Chordata, Actinopteri, Cichliformes, Cichlidae.